GUCUGUAUGAAGUUAAAUAGAGUCUAUUCUGCCCAUUGAGAUUAAUCUUAAAAGGCCGCGGUAUUCUAACUGUGCAAAGGUAGCAUAAUCAGUAGUUUCUUAAUUGGAGGCUUGUAUGAAUGAUUGGAUAAGAAUUAAACUGUCUUUUUUUAAAAAAUGGAAUUUUAUUUUUAAGUGAAAAAGCUUAAAUGAAUCAGAGGGACGAUAAGACCCUAUAAAUCUUUAUGAUUAUGUUUUUGUUUAUUUAUAUAUUUUAGUGUUAAGAGGAUUUCAAGAACUAAAUCAUUGUGCUGGGGCGGCAGAAAUAUAAAAAAACUAUUUAAAUGAAGCAACAAUGUUAAUUGAAGAGUAAAAGAUCUUUAUUAAAGAUUUAAAGAAUAAGUUACUUUAGGGAUAACAGCAUAAUUUCUUUUGAGAGUUCAAAUCGAAAGAGAAGUUUGUGACCUCGAUGUUGAAUUAAAAUUUCCUUAUGGUGCAGAAGUUAUACGGGAGAGUCUGUUCGACUUUUAAAAUUUUACAUGAUUUGAGUUCAAACCGGCGCGAG
Molecule: ribosomal RNA, 544 nt
Filed under: Petrolisthes quadratus
Lineage: Eukaryota; Metazoa; Arthropoda; Malacostraca; Decapoda; Porcellanidae
Description: partial 16S ribosomal RNA
Rfam family: Archaeal large subunit ribosomal RNA
Source: RNAcentral